UAGCGAAAUUCCUUGUCGGGGUAAGUUCCGACCUGCACGAAUGGCGUAACGAUGGCCACACUGUCUCCUCCUGAGACUCAGCGAAGUUGAAAUGUUUUGUGAAGAUGCAAUCUCCCCGCGGCUAGACGGAAAGACCCCAUGAACCUUUACUGUAGCUUUGCAUUGGACUUUGACGGGACUUGUGUAGGAUAGGUGGGAGGCUUUUGAAAACCGGGACGCCAGUUCCGGUGGAGCCAACCUUGAAAUACCACCCUGGUGUCGUCGAGGUUCUAACCCAGGCCUGUGAAUCCAGGUCGGGGACCGUGCAUGGUGGGCAGUUUGACUGGGGCGGUCUCCUCCCAAAAGGUACGGAGGAGUACGAAGGUCACCUAGGUACGGUCGGACAUCGUACUGAUAGUGCAAUGGCAAAAGGUGGCUUGACUGCGAGACCCACAAGUCGAG
Molecule: ribosomal RNA, 441 nt
Filed under: uncultured bacterium
Lineage: Bacteria
Description: bacterial LSU rRNA
Rfam family: Bacterial large subunit ribosomal RNA
Source: RNAcentral